This is a long non-coding RNA of Hylaeus anthracinus, 1832 nucleotides long. RefSeq lists it as uncharacterized. Lineage: Eukaryota; Metazoa; Arthropoda; Insecta; Hymenoptera; Colletidae. The record is from RefSeq and is a predicted model, not a curated record. The transcript is spliced from 3 exons.
UAUAUACCACAGCAACACCUACCCUCGAAGUCAUAGAUCAGCGAAACGGUCGCUGAGCAAGUUCGCCAACCGUACUUCGUCCCGAGAACACCUGGACGACCCCCUGGUGACUACGUAACCUCUUCGACGGGGAAGCAAAGUCGAGCUGGUGAAGAAGAAGAGGACGUUGGAGCGAAAGGGUGGAGAGGAACGUAUAUUCAGCGACCAUAGGCUAAAGGCCAACAGGUGGUUCGAUCCAGGGAGGACACAGGUAAAAUUCCACCAAUCGAAACUUUUGGGUCUUCAACUGCUUGAGUUGCUUAGAAUUCUCUGAUCUCCUGAUAAUCUCUACUAAGCAGCGUUCAAUCGGAGAAAAAUGGAGCAGAAUUUCAAUUUCACGUUCGAUGUGGACAUACGUUGCUUCUAUCUCACAUAUUGGAUCAUACGAACCAUCAUUGACACAGCAUACUCCAUGAUGCCCAUAAGUAGAAAUAGCUAUGUACCUGUUGGAUUCUUGGAUUGUGUUCUGGUGUGCUCUUUACUUCUCGUCUGCACCAUGAGCAAUCUAAUGAUAUAGAAGCGAACCAGACAUUUCUAACACUGCGAGAACCAGUGUUGAAGGAUCGACGAAUCACGAGCACGUGUCGAAGAUGGUCGAAAAUCUUAUUCAGAAACGAUCUUAUUUACUUUCGAAUAAAGAAUAAAAGAUAAAUUAUUAUGUUUAACACGUUGACCGCCACGUCACCCAUAUAUAUAUAUAUAUCGAAGAAGUAAACAAAUUAAUUCUGAAAGUUAAGCAUGAAAGGAAAUGAAUUUGAAUGAAAUUCAUGAAUUUUGAUGGUUACAAAAAUAAAUACCACGAUAAACAUUUGAUUAUGUAGUUUCCUAUAGUGUAGAUAAUAUUUAAUCCUAGCAGAAAUUGUCAAGAAUAUGUGUCCGGCAGUCAACGUGUUAAUAAGAGAUUAUAUCCAACAUAUUCUAUACAUUUUGUAUGUUUUUCACGUAACCGUAUACUACAAAUGGAUAAAAUUCACAGUCAACAGUAUCCCAGAAUUACUGUAAGAACCGGACAUGGGAGGUAGCUGAGACGAUUCUGAACCACAAUUUCCUUUGGAAAAAUGUCGGAUGGUGCUUCGUUUUUGAAUUAUUAAGGAAAUAUCACCGACCAAUCACAGCGCCCGAGUGGCUGGCUACGUCAGCGCGCUAAUCGAGCUAAUCUGUGAUUGGUCGGUGGUUUUUCGUUAAUAAUUCAAAAAUGAACCAUCAUCCUACAUUCUUGCAAAGGGAAUUGUAUUAGGUUGUCCUAAAAGUUUCUUCCAUUUCAGUAAUAAGUAAUACAUACAUAAUAUUUUAUGUCUAAUGUUACGUUAUUGAAUUGCGUACGAUUCAUUUUGCUUCAUUACUAUUCCAAUAUUAGCAUCUAAGAAAUUAGAUUGUCUAUUUAUAUGAACAGUGCCACACAAAAUAACUGAAUGCAAGUCACGGAAGAAACUUUUAGGACAACCUAAUAGUUCAGAAUCGUCUCAGCUACUCCUCAUUUCCUGUUCUUACUCGAUUUAGGUUUACUGAAUUUCACUGUUUGAUUACAUCUACGAGUACUCUUGCGUUCUUCGAUCCUAUUUCUCGCAUCACUCUGUGUAUUAGUGACAAAGGCGAAGCGCUUGCAAACAGGCCACCUAAACAACUUCGAGUAAUUUUCUAGUCUUGAAUAUUAGUGUCUUCGUACAUAGAAGAGGCAUUGAGUCACGUGCUCGCCAUACACCGCAACAGAAUGGAGCUCUUAACUGACCAAAGAUCAGAAGCCUUCAAUCUCCGAAUAUAUAAUACGUCCAUUAACUAAGAAAAACACACAA